CGCGGGAUUAGAGUUUGAUCAUGGCUCAGAUUGAACGCUGGCGGCAGGCCUAACACAUGCAAGUCGAGCGGAAACGAGUUGUUUGAACCUUCGGGGGACGACAACGGCGUCGAGCGGCGGACGGGUGAGUAAUGCCUGGGAAAUUGCCCUGAUGUGGGGGAUAACCAUUGGAAACGAUGGCUAAUACCGCAUGAUAGCUUCGGCUCAAAGAGGGGGACCUUCGGGCCUCUCGCGUCAGGAUAUGCCCAGGUGGGAUUAGCUAGUUGGUGAGGUAAGGGCUCACCAAGGCGACGAUCCCUAGCUGGUCUGAGAGGAUGAUCAGCCACACUGGAACUGAGACACGGUCCAGACUCCUACGGGAGGCAGCAGUGGGGAAUAUUGCACAAUGGGCGCAAGCCUGAUGCAGCCAUGCCGCGUGUAUGAAGAAGGCCUUCGGGUUGUAAAGUACUUUCAGCAGUGAGGAAGAUGGUGUGUUUAAUACGUACAUCAUUUGACGUUAGCUGCAGAAGAAGCACCGGCUAACUCCGUGCCAGCAGCCGCGGUAAUACGGGGGGUGCGAGCGUUAAUCGGAAUUACUGGGCGUAAAGCGCAUGCAGGUGGUUUGUUAAGUCAGAUGUGAAGGCCCGGGGCUCAACCUCGGAAUAGCAUUUGGAACUGGCAGACUAGAGUACUGUAGAGGGGGGUAGAAUUUCA
RNAcentral lists this ribosomal RNA (693 nucleotides) under uncultured Vibrionaceae bacterium. RNAcentral's name for it is "bacterial SSU rRNA". It matches the Rfam family "Bacterial small subunit ribosomal RNA", at positions 1 to 671 of the family's 1533-position model. The record is from RNAcentral. Lineage: Bacteria; Pseudomonadati; Pseudomonadota; Gammaproteobacteria; Vibrionales; Vibrionaceae.